RNAcentral lists this ribosomal RNA (253 nucleotides) under uncultured bacterium. Its description in RNAcentral is "partial 16S ribosomal RNA". It matches the Rfam family "Bacterial small subunit ribosomal RNA", at positions 524 to 776 of the family's 1533-position model. The record is from RNAcentral.
UACGUAGGGGGCAAGCGUUGUUCGGAAUUACUGGGCGUAAAGGGCGCGUAGGCGGCUUAUCAAGUCAGGCGUGAAAUUCCCGGGCUCAACCUGGGGGCUGCGCUUGAUACUGAUGAGCUUGAAUGCGGGAGAGGAUAGUGGAAUUCCCAGUGUAGAGGUGAAAUUCGUAGAUAUUGGGAAGAACACCGGUGGCGAAGGCGGCUAUCUGGCCCGUAAUUGACGCUGAGGCGCGAAAGCGUGGGGAGCAAACAGG